RNAcentral lists this ribosomal RNA (401 nucleotides) under uncultured archaeon. RNAcentral's name for it is "bacterial SSU rRNA". It matches the Rfam family "Archaeal small subunit ribosomal RNA", at positions 471 to 871 of the family's 1478-position model. The record is from RNAcentral.
UAAUACCGGCGGCUCGAGUGGUGGCCGCUAUUACUGGGCUUAAAGCGUUCGUAGCUGGGCUGUUAAGUCCCCUGGGAAAUCCACCGGCUCAACCGAUGGGCGUUCAGGGGAUACUGGCAGCCUAGGGACCGGGAGAGGUGAGGGGUACUCCAGGGGUAGGAGUGAAAUCCUGUAAUCCUUGGGGGACCACCUGUGGCGAAGGCGUCUCACUAGAACGGCUCCGACAGUGAGGAACGAAAGCUGGGGGAGCAAACCGGAUUAGAUACCCGGGUAGUCCCAGCUGUAAACGAUGCGCGUUAGGUGUAUCGGUGACCACGAGUCACCGAGGUGCCGAAGAGAAAUCGUGAAACGUGCCGCCUGGGAAGUACGGUCGCAAGGCUGAAACUUAAAUGAAUUGACGG